This 68-nucleotide transfer RNA is filed under the name Marmota monax (woodchuck). RNAcentral describes it as "tRNA.Thr". Lineage: Eukaryota; Metazoa; Chordata; Mammalia; Rodentia; Sciuridae. The record is from RNAcentral.
GGAUUGUGGCUCAGUGGUAGAGUGCUUGCCUUGUACAUGUGAGGCACUGGGUUCAAUCCUCAGCACCA